GACGAACGCUGGCGGCGUGCUUAACACAUGCAAGUCGAACGGUAAGGCCCUUCGGGGUACACGAGUGGCGAAAGGGUGAGUAACACGUGGGUGAUCUGCCCUGCACUUCGGGAUAAGCCUGGGAAACUGGGUCUAAUACCGGAUAGGACCACUGCCUGCAUGGGUGGUGGUGGAAAGCUUUUGCGGUGUGGGAUGGGCCCGCGGCCUAUCAGCUUGUUGGUGGGGUGAUGGCCUACAAAGGCGACGACGGGUAGCCGGCCUGAGAGGGUGACCGGCCACACAGGGACUAAGAUAUGGCCCAGACUCCUACGGGAGGCAGCAGUGGGAAUAUUGCACAAUGGGCGCAAGCCUGAUGCAGCGACGCCGCGUGAGGGACGACGGCCUUCGGGUUGUAAACCUCUUUCAGCACCGACGAAGCGCAAGUGACGGUAGGUGCAGAAGAAGGACCGGCCAACUACGUGCCAGCCGCCGCGGUAA
RNAcentral lists this ribosomal RNA (477 nucleotides) under uncultured bacterium. RNAcentral's name for it is "partial 16S ribosomal RNA". It matches the Rfam family "Bacterial small subunit ribosomal RNA", at positions 28 to 523 of the family's 1533-position model. The record is from RNAcentral.